GGUUGACCUCGGAUCAGGUAGGGAUACCCGCUGAACUUAAGCAUAUCAAUAAGCGGAGGAAAAGAAACCAACCGGGAUUGCCUCAGUAACGGCGAGUGAAGCGGCAAGAGCUCAAAUUUGAAAGCUGGCUCCUUCGGGGUCCGCAUUGUAAUUUGCAGAGGAUGCUUCGGGUGCGGCCCCUGUCUAAGUGCCCUGGAACGGGCUGUCAGAGAGGGUGAGAAUCCCGUCU
RNAcentral lists this ribosomal RNA (229 nucleotides) under Aspergillus sp. CMV-2019j. Its description in RNAcentral is "partial 28S ribosomal RNA". It matches the Rfam family "Eukaryotic large subunit ribosomal RNA", at positions 1 to 226 of the family's 3401-position model. The record is from RNAcentral. Lineage: Eukaryota; Fungi; Ascomycota; Eurotiomycetes; Eurotiales; Aspergillaceae.